GACGAACGCUGGCGGCGUGCCUGACACAUGCAAGUCGUACGGUCCGUGAUUGAUCAAGCUUGCUUGAUUGGUCGUGGAUAGUGGCGGACGGGUGAGUAACGCGUGAACACCUACCCAUUGGAGGGGUACAACCCGUCGAAAGGCGGGCUAAUACCGCGUAAGCCGCGAGGUGAAAGGCUGCCUUUUGGUGGCUGCCGAUGGAUGGGUUCGCGUCCUAUCAGCUUGUUGGUGGGGUAAUGGCCUACCAAGGCGAAGACGGGUAGCCGGUCUGAGAGGAUGGCCGGCCACACUGGAACUGAGACACGGUCCAGACUCCUACGGGAGGCAGCAGUGGGGAAUAUUGCACAAAUGGGCGAAAGCCUGAUGCAGCAACGCCGCGUGAGUGAUGAAGGCCUUAGGGUUGUAAAGCUCUUUUACCAGGGAUGAUAAUGACAGUACCUGGAGAAUAAAGCUCCGGCUAACUCCGUGCCAGCAGCCGCGGUAAUCUCGUCUCUAC
RNAcentral lists this ribosomal RNA (496 nucleotides) under uncultured bacterium. RNAcentral describes it as "bacterial SSU rRNA". It matches the Rfam family "Bacterial small subunit ribosomal RNA", at positions 28 to 535 of the family's 1533-position model. The record is from RNAcentral.